CGCUACAUCAUUCAAGGAAAUUCGUCGUAGAGGUCUUUCUCUUUACCAGAUUUCGUAGCUGAAGUUUAUGAAGUAAUCAAACCGGUGUUAACUUCUUAUAUAAAGGUAGAUUCCCAAACUUUGAAGAAACACUACAGUACUGAGGUAAUUGAAUGUUGUAAGGCAGAGCAUCGGGCUUUCCAGAG
Long non-coding RNA from Cucumis sativus (cucumber), 185 nucleotides. RefSeq lists it as uncharacterized. The transcript is spliced from 3 exons. NCBI's taxonomy places the organism in Eukaryota, Viridiplantae, Streptophyta, Magnoliopsida, Cucurbitales, Cucurbitaceae. The record is from RefSeq and is a predicted model, not a curated record.